This 253-nucleotide ribosomal RNA is filed under the name uncultured bacterium. Its description in RNAcentral is "partial 16S ribosomal RNA". It matches the Rfam family "Bacterial small subunit ribosomal RNA", at positions 524 to 776 of the family's 1533-position model. The record is from RNAcentral.
UACGUAGGGUGCGAGCGUUAAUCGGAAUCACUGGGCGUAAAGGGUGCGUAGGCGGGUUUUUAAGUCAGGGGUGAAAUCCUGGAGCUCAACUCCAGAACUGCCUUUGAUACUGAAGAUCUUGAGUUCGGGAGAGGUGAGUGGAACUGCGAGUGUAGAGGUGAAAUUCGUAGAUAUUCGCAAGAACACCAGUGGCGAAGGCGGCUCACUGGCCCGAUACUGACGCUGAGGCACGAAAGCGUGGGGAGCAAACAGG